CCUUCCUCUAGAGGACUGCAGGUAUGGCUGCUGUGUCACAUGGACAUCAGUAGGUGUCAUAGAGGAGAGAAGCUAUGUCUAAACUUUGUAUUUUCAUUUUGAACAUCUGAUUGAUUAGUUGCCUAACACU
This is a small nucleolar RNA of Rattus norvegicus (Norway rat), 130 nucleotides long. Ensembl annotates it as small nucleolar RNA SNORA17. Lineage: Eukaryota; Metazoa; Chordata; Mammalia; Rodentia; Muridae. The record is from Ensembl.